Long non-coding RNA from Zootermopsis nevadensis, 1731 nucleotides. RefSeq lists it as uncharacterized. The record is from RefSeq and is a predicted model, not a curated record. Lineage: Eukaryota; Metazoa; Arthropoda; Insecta; Blattodea; Termopsidae.
UCUUCGGCCCGCGGUCACUUCGCAACAAACCCCCACCCCGCGGGAAAAAUAAUUUUCUGUCUCUCGGCUACGGAAACAAUGUGAUCAGACGGUCAAUAUGUUUGUUCGCACAGAGAAUGGAUUCGCUGACCAUCGUUUGAACAAACACAUGUUGAAUUCAGCCGAUUUACAGAUCCCAGUGUUAACAUUGACAAUCGAAUGAAUCUGGCCAGGGUACGAAAAAUUAGCACCAACAAAGAAAUGUAGAGGUUUUAUUAGAAUUAUUAAUAUCGUUUUCUAGAAGUAAACAAUUACAUUCACAUUUCAAAUGUUUUCGGUCUCGCAAGCAAACAAGUGGACAUUCCUGCAUAAUAAUUGGCACACAUUUUCUGUUGUUUAAUUUGUAUUUAGUUGUUGUGGACCGUAACACGGGAAAAAUAUGAAGAGAAGAGAUCACUUGUUAAGACCAUGGCGUAUAUGGGAGGAUAAUAUUAAAAAAAAUAUCUACAAGAAAGAGAAUGGAUAUGAUGGCGUGAACUGGAUUCAUCUGGCUUAAGGUUUGAUGGCGGGAUAUUGUGAACAUGGCAAUGGACCUUCAGUUUGCAUAAAGGCGGGAAGUUAUCGACUAGCGACAAUGAAAUCGUCCCGUUGCAAUAUACUUACUGUCAGUAUCAUCGUGAACAGCUGCGAUUUCAAUAAAGCUGGUUCAGUAAUUUUCGUUCCAACUACACAAGACACACACGCGAAGCUCUGCAGUUGUAACGAUUUCUGGCAUGCGUUCAAGAAGCCGGCUUCCAAAAGCCUCAUUUACUUUUACACCAACAUGAGAGGUUCCUUGACUAAAGUUACGAAUACUUUCUCGAACUCCAAAACCGACUGAGCGUGUGUUACUGAACCAGGAUACAGAUCACAAGUCGAGCAGCUGGCGGGAGAUAGAGAGAUCAAGGCGGCUCGGGAUCUUCGAUACUCGCGGACGAAGUUCGAAGCAAGAUUUACAGAAGGAUUUUUCUCAUGACGUAGUACGACACUGUUAAUACCUGGAUCGUACGGACCACGUCAAUGUCGUAAUAAAAAGGGUGACGGUGUCUGGAUGACUGACGAGUUAAGAUCCGAUAAAGGAUGUAAGAGAAACUCUUGGAGAGUAAUUGGGUCGCAGUUAAAUAAAACGUUUAACUUCCCACCUGCUAUACAGAAACGUCCUUUUUACGUGUGUGAAGCGUGAAUAAUGAGGAGCUCCAUAAUUGAUCUCCCCCAUGCGUUCUUCAUGCCCAAACCAUCUUAUCCCCCGUAAUUUUAUCGUUCUAAUAAUCAUCCUAUCACUUCGCCGCCUUCAGGUCGAAGCAUUAUUCGAAGCACCCUGUUAUCAGACACCCUUAAUGUACCCGUCUAUGGGACUGCAGUUUAAAUGCGUAGGAAUACACACAUGCAUAAUGCAUAUACGCAUAAAUACAUACACAAAUAUUCACCAUUGUUCCUGAGUGCAGUUCAUAUGCUAAAGCAUUGCAGUCUGACAUUGCAAGAUCCGGUAAAAAAAAAAAAAAAAACUUCCAGCAGUUUCUCAACACCCAACUCGAUCGAAACCCAAAGUCUGCUGUCAACAGUGUGGGGCGAUAUCGAACACAAGGGAUGGAUUAUGAAUACAGUCUACAGGUACGAACUCUACCGCCGCACACAGGAGUUAAUUUGCCAUGCAUAGAAACAGUUCAUUAUAACAGACAACUAUUUCAAUAGAGGGGUCUGGAAUGGAGAAUC